RNAcentral lists this ribosomal RNA (254 nucleotides) under uncultured bacterium. RNAcentral's name for it is "partial 16S ribosomal RNA". It matches the Rfam family "Bacterial small subunit ribosomal RNA", at positions 524 to 776 of the family's 1533-position model. The record is from RNAcentral.
UACGUAGGGUGCAAGCGUUGUCCGGAAUUAUUGGGCGUAAAGAGCUCGUAGGCGGUCUGUUGCGUCGGCUGUGAAAACCCGGGGCUCAACUCCGGGCCUGCAGCCGAUACGGGCAGACUAGAGUUCGGCAGGGGAGACUGGAAUUCCUGGUGUAGCGGUGAAAUGCGCAGAUAUCAGGAGGAACACCGGUGGCGAAGGCGGGUCUCUGGGCCGAGACUGACGCUGGAGGCGCGAAAGCGUGGGGAGCAAACAGG